This 77-nucleotide transfer RNA is filed under the name Sphingomonas sp. RNAcentral describes it as "tRNA-Leu". It matches the Rfam family "tRNA". Rfam says of the family: Transfer RNA (tRNA) molecules are approximately 80 nucleotides in length. Their secondary structure includes four short double-helical elements and three loops (D, anti-codon, and T loops). Further hydrogen bonds mediate the characteristic L-shaped molecular structure. tRNAs have two regions of fundamental functional importance: the anti-codon, which is responsible for specific mRNA codon recognition, and the 3' end, to which the tRNAs corresponding amino acid is attached (by aminoacyl-tRNA synthetases). tRNAs cope with the degeneracy of the genetic code in two manners: having more than one tRNA (with a specific anti-codon) for a particular amino acid; and 'wobble' base-pairing, i.e. permitting non-standard base-pairing at the 3rd anti-codon position. The record is from RNAcentral. Lineage: Bacteria; Pseudomonadati; Pseudomonadota; Alphaproteobacteria; Sphingomonadales; Sphingomonadaceae.
CGCGGGGUGGAGCAGCCCGGUAGCUCGUCAGGCUCAGAACCUGAAGGUCGCAGGUUCAAAUCCUGCCCCCGCAACCA